GACGAACGCUGGCGGCGUGCUUAACACAUGCAAGUCGAGCGGUAAGGCCCUUUCGGGGUACGACGAGCGGCGAACGGGUGAGUAACACGUGGGUGACCUGCCCUCAGCUCUGGGAUAAGCCUGGGAAACUGGGUCUAAUACUGGAUAUGACUCCACGGUGCAUGUCGUGGGGUGGAAAGCCUUGUGCGGCUGAGGAUGGGCCCGCGGCCUAUCAGCUUGUUGGUGGGGUGANGGCCUACCAAGGCGACGACGGGUAGCCGGCCUGAGAGGGCGACCGGCCACACUGGGACUGAGACACGGCCCAGACUCCUACGGGAGGCAGCAGUGGGGAAUCUUGCGCAAUGGGCGAAAGCCUGACGCAGCGACGCCGCGUGA
This 375-nucleotide ribosomal RNA is filed under the name uncultured bacterium. Its description in RNAcentral is "bacterial SSU rRNA". It matches the Rfam family "Bacterial small subunit ribosomal RNA", at positions 28 to 404 of the family's 1533-position model. The record is from RNAcentral.